RNAcentral lists this non-coding RNA (25 nucleotides) under Drosophila melanogaster (fruit fly). The record is from RNAcentral. Lineage: Eukaryota; Metazoa; Arthropoda; Insecta; Diptera; Drosophilidae. RNAcentral also lists the same sequence under 10 other names.
UAGGUGAACCUGCGGAGGGAUCAUU